RNAcentral lists this ribosomal RNA (449 nucleotides) under uncultured bacterium. RNAcentral describes it as "bacterial SSU rRNA". It matches the Rfam family "Bacterial small subunit ribosomal RNA", at positions 354 to 796 of the family's 1533-position model. The record is from RNAcentral.
GUCGAGAAUUUUUCACAAUGGGCGCAAGCCUGAUGGAGCGACGCCGCGUGGGGGAUGAAGGGUUUCGAUCCGUAAACCCCUGUCAUUUGCGAACAAAUCUUAUGGGAUAACACCCCAUGAGUUGAUUGUAGCGGAAGAGGAAGGGACGGCUAACUCUGUGCCAGCAGCCGCGGUAAUACAGAGGUCCCGAGCGUUGUUCGGAUUCACUGGGCGUAAAGGGUGCGUAGGUGGCCAGGUAAGUUUGGUGUGAAAGCUCGGAGCUUAACUCCGAAAAGGCAUUGAAUACUAUCUGGCUAGAGGGUUGGAGGGGAGACUGGAAUUCUCGGUGUAGCAGUGAAAUGCGUAGAUAUCGAGAGGAACACCAGUGGCGAAGGCGAGUCUCUGGACAACCCCUGACACUGAGGCACGAAAGCUAGGGGAGCAAACAGGAUUAGAAACCCGUGUAGUCC